Molecule: small RNA, 115 nt
Filed under: Marmota monax (woodchuck)
Lineage: Eukaryota; Metazoa; Chordata; Mammalia; Rodentia; Sciuridae
Source: RNAcentral
GCUGGGCAUAGUGGCAUAUGCCUGUAGUCCCAGCUUUUGGAGGCUGUGGGGAGAGAAUUUCUUGAGGCCAUGAGUUGGAUAUCAGUCCAGGGAACAUAGCAAGAUCCCAUCUCAA